This 254-nucleotide ribosomal RNA is filed under the name uncultured bacterium. RNAcentral describes it as "partial 16S ribosomal RNA". It matches the Rfam family "Bacterial small subunit ribosomal RNA", at positions 524 to 776 of the family's 1533-position model. The record is from RNAcentral.
UACGAAGGGGGGCUAGCGUUACUCGGAUUGACUGGGCGUAAAGGGCGCGUAGGCGGUUUGUACAGUCAGACGUGAAAUUCCUGGGCUCAACCUGGGGGCUGCGUUUGAUACGUGCGGACUUGAGUUCGGAAGAGGGUCGUGGAAUUCCCAGUGUAGAGGUGAAAUUCGUAGAUAUUGGGAAGAACACCGGUGGCGAAGGCGGCGACCUGGUCCGAUACUGACGCUGAGGCGCGAAAGCGUGGGGAGCAAACAGG